GAUGAACGCUGGCGGCGUGCCUAAUACAUGCAAGUCGAGCGAACGGACGAGAAGCUUGCUUCUCUGAUGUUAGCGGCGGACGGGUGAGUAACACGUGGAUAACCUACCUAUAAGACUGGGAUAACUUCGGGAAACCGGAGCUAAUACCGGAUGAUAUUUUGAACCGCAUGGUUCAAAAGUGAAAGACGGUCUUGCUGUCACUUAUAGAUGGAUCCGCGCUGCAUUAGCUAGUUGGUAAGGUAACGGCUUACCAAGGCAACGAUGCAUAGCCGACCUGAGAGGGGGAUCGGGCACACUGGAACUGAGACACGGUCCAGGCUCCUACGGGAGGCAGCAGUAGGGAAUCUUCCGCAAUGGGCGAAAGCCUGACGGAGCAACGCCGCGUGAGUGAUGAAGGUCUUCGGAUCGUAAAACUCUGUUAUUAGGGAAGAACAUAUGUGUAAGUAACUGUGCACAUCUUGACGGUACCUAAUCAGAAAGCCACGGCUAACUACGUG
RNAcentral lists this ribosomal RNA (497 nucleotides) under uncultured bacterium. RNAcentral describes it as "partial 16S ribosomal RNA". It matches the Rfam family "Bacterial small subunit ribosomal RNA", at positions 28 to 507 of the family's 1533-position model. The record is from RNAcentral.